UGAAAUGUUAUCCUGACGUCUACAAAAGGUUUAGGAAUCUGAUGUCAUUUUCUCCCUAUGAUUCACAUGUUGGCCUUUUCUGUAGAGGGGUUACCAAUUAUCUCUGGUGUAUGUUCCUGUUAAGGGUUCUCUACAAUUCGGAUACUGUAAAAUAUGUAAUUAGGAUGAUAGAGAUGGCUUCUAAUAUAGAGGGUCCCCUGUACCUCUUUUUCUUGG
Molecule: long non-coding RNA, 216 nt
Filed under: Homo sapiens (human)
Lineage: Eukaryota; Metazoa; Chordata; Mammalia; Primates; Hominidae
Description: HSALNT0013650
Source: RNAcentral